Molecule: unclassified non-coding RNA, 1713 nt
Filed under: Hevea brasiliensis (rubber tree)
Lineage: Eukaryota; Viridiplantae; Streptophyta; Magnoliopsida; Malpighiales; Euphorbiaceae
Source: RNAcentral
AAAAAAAAGGAAAAAAUAAAAAACGUUUGAGUGAUCAUAGUGGCGUGAGAGAAUCAUGAGUUUCAUGAGAGAGCAUUUCUGCUUUCUUUUCAUGGGCAAUGAUAGCUUCUCGAACCAACGCAUUCAGCAUCCUUAUAUAUAAUACUAUGCACGCACUUUUAGAAUCGCCUGUCAAAUUUUCUCGCAUAUUCCGGCGACUUCAUCCCGGUUCAGGUCUCAAUAUAACUUGCACAAAUUGGCGGAGCCAAUGUAACGUUUUAGUUUCAUGGAUGGGUAGGUUGGGAAAAUGUCACUAAUAUGUGUCUGAAGCCAGAAGAAUUAUCAGAAGUGGUCCUGGAUUUUGAUAUGAAUGAAGGGAAGAGAAGUUAAUUUAACAAUACCAGAGGAACCCUAUUCAUGGAAGGAGAAAAAGAGGAAUAUUCAGAACUAUAGAUACCGAAAAUCAGGUGGCAAAGAAGCCCGCUGGUUAGAUCUAUUCACAAAGGAUUAUGCUUUAGUUCUGGAUUCUCAGAAAACUGCCAUGGAAAUAAAAUCUUACCAAGAUAAGGCAGAGCUGCUGCUCAAGGAAUAUUUGCUAGCUGAUUCUUUUAACCCAUGCACUUCUAUUAUUGUUGGCAUUUGUGCUUGCAAUAUGGUUUAUGAUCUUAGCCAGUUAUUCAGUCAGUCUUAUUUACUUCAAGAGCUAUUCCAACCUUACAAAAAUACAACGUAUCGAGUGGAAUAACCGGUAGUAAAUAUCAUCAACUAGUCCAACAUCCUGUUCCCUUUCUACUGGAAAUUCUUUUUCUUUUAUAUAAUUUUUUAAUUAUUGUUUAAUUAUUGAAUGCAGGGCUAUAUCCACCUUUCUUGCCAUUUUCAUCACAGUUAUAUCAUUGUAUUUUGUAUUCUGCUCUAAUAUCUAUUCUGACCAUCAUUCUGGUCUUAUCAUAUUUCGAAGUUCUUCACUGUCUACAUUUACAUUAGGGAUAAGAUGGUUUAAAUCUAUUUGUUCAUCUUCUUCUUUUUAUUUAUUUAUUUAUUAUUUAUCUUUGUUUCUUGGGUAAGGUCUGACUCAGGAUCUCUAUUCUUAGCAUUAUGAUUGAUCUUCUAUAGAGAUUACUAAGAGUGAGUUUCCUAUCAUGGAUACUGAACUUUUGGUUUGGUAACUAUAUUCUACUAUUUAGGUUGAGCUUUAUUUAGCUGAGGCAAACAAUAGUUCACCAAUUAAAGAUUUUUUUUGUAAUACGUUUUCUUAGAGAGUUCAAAAGUUAAGGAUAUUGUACUUUGUUAUGAUAGUUUUGUUUUUCUUAUAAUAUUUGGACAGUGUUUUCCUAUUCUUUAGUUAGCUUUGAUGCCCAUUAAAGCAGUAUUUUGUAGCUUGUGAGGCCCAAUGUGCAAAUGAUUAGUUAUGCAUUUGAUUGAUUGCCUGCAAGCUUGAUUGUUCUCUCUUUCAUUAUCACAUCUAAUUGGUUCUGCAUUAAACAGAAAAUAGAAAAAGUUUGAAACUUGGGGUGAAGUUUGCUUGUUGAUUGCUGUGGAUUUGCCCAUGCUUAAUAAAAGCCUAAUUGUAUGCAUUGUUGAAAAGCGAUAUAGAUUAGGAAAGGUGUUGCAAAAGCUGAGAAAAUACCAAGAAAUAUGAUGCUUAAUAUUGUUGGACAGAAACAUGAACCUAUGGUUAAACCAGAAUUGUACAUUGCAUUCCAAAUUUUUUUAGCUUUAACCUACCUUUUUUUU